UUCCCCUCCUUCUCCAGAACCCAGUCUCCUAGCAACAGGCCGGCAUUCAUUCAGAGAGGAACCUUUGCAGUGCUUCCAGCACUUCAGUCCUGACAUCCCAGGAAAGGAGAACUGAAGAUAAUUGCCUGGGGAUAUAUUUAGGCCUAAUAAUGACACCUUCCCAAGACUGCUGUACUGUUUACCAAAUGCACAUUGACACUUUAACAAACCAGAGUAUACACUUUUGAAUACUUAAGAUAGUCCCAACCAAAGGAAGAUUUUCUUUACAGCAGAAAGUCUCUAAUAAGUAAUAUAGUCGAUAAGGAAAUUUGCUGAAGGUGAAUUAUUGCUGGGGCGAAGAAUUCUAGAGGAGUUGCACCAGGAAGUAAGCCAAAGAAAGAGACUGAAUCUUGAGCCCCUCCCCUACACUACUUCCUGUUUCUUUUCCCCACUGUCGGGAUGAAGAUCUUCUCACAGAUGUAUAGGUAGAAGGCAAUGGCCAGAGAGGAGAUGAAGGGCUCUGUCUUCCACCUUCAGGCAGAAACAGCUAAGAAGAAUGAAGUCUCAGACAGCUGGAGCCUCCUAACUGCUUCCUUCAAGGUUCCAUUGGAAGUCUCUCCUCCUCCGCUGAUUUGUGUUCCAAAAGUUCUGAACUCCUUUGCUUUGCAGAUCCAUUUUGCUUUGCCCAAAAUAUUUUCAUUUACAGGAAACUUGAUUCCCAUCAAGAGGGAAAAUAAGAAGCUGGAACCACAAGGCUGGCCCUUCUGCUCUCCUUAAACAGGAACUUCUCCCUAAAGAGAAUCUAGAGCUAUGUGUCUUCUUUCUGGAAGCUAGAGGCCAAAAGACACUUCUCUCAACAUUCUGCCAACUCUGCAUCUCAUGCAGGCUUAGGGAAUUAAGUACCAAUCUCUACCAAUGAAGAGAAAUGUACACAUGUGGGCUUUGAUAAGUGGAUUACAUCAGUGAGACUUUACAAGCAUUCUAAUGGAAAAGACCAAACUAACUUGUCUAUUACCGCUUUAUUCAGAGCUGCUGCAUAGUCUUCUAGAUUUUAUGAAGGUUUUCUUUAAGAGAAACUUUUGUUUCUGCCUGGGGAAGCAUCCAUUUCCUGUGAUAAAAUUCACAUUGUUACAGUCCACACCUAUGUAUGCACAAGGAAGAUAAUUAAUCUGUAAAAAUUGUCUUAGGAGAGCGCAUACUCAGUCCUGCACAAGGCAAGAAAGGCACUGACCUUUGAUCCCAACAUUCCUAAGGUUUAGGCACAAACUCAGGUUUCUUUGUCCUCACCUGGCUGAGACAAUCCACACCUCUGCCUUGUUGUAAUGUACACCUGAACCAAUGGCAAUCCACUGUGUCUUCAUUAAUAUGUAUUACAUACCUUUGCAUCACAAUGUCAAUAAAUACAAGCAGCUCACAGCA
This 1398-nucleotide long non-coding RNA is filed under the name Monodelphis domestica (gray short-tailed opossum). RNAcentral's name for it is "lncRNA (ENSMODG00000043236.1)". Lineage: Eukaryota; Metazoa; Chordata; Mammalia; Didelphimorphia; Didelphidae. The record is from RNAcentral.